RNAcentral lists this ribosomal RNA (478 nucleotides) under Enterococcus faecium. Its description in RNAcentral is "partial 23S ribosomal RNA". It matches the Rfam family "Bacterial large subunit ribosomal RNA", at positions 4 to 475 of the family's 2925-position model. Lineage: Bacteria; Bacillati; Bacillota; Bacilli; Lactobacillales; Enterococcaceae. The record is from RNAcentral.
UAAGUUAUUAAGGGCGCACGGUGGAUGCCUUGGCACUAGAAGCCGAUGAAGGACGUUACUAACGACGAUAUGCUUUGGGGAGCUGUAAGUAAGCUUUGAUCCAGAGAUUUCCGAAUGGGGAAACCCAGCAUGAGUUAUGUCAUGUUAUCGAUAUGUGAAUACAUAGCAUAUCAGAAGGCACACCCGGAGAACUGAAACAUCUUAGUACCCGGAGGAAGAGAAAGAAAAUUCGAUUCCCUUAGUAGCGGCGAGCGAAACGGGAAGAGCCCAAACCAACAAGCUUGCUUGUUGGGGUUGUAGGACACUCUAUACGGAGUUACAAAGGACGACAUUAGACGAAUCAUCUGGAAAGAUGAAUCAAAGAAGGUAAUAAUCCUGUAGUCGAAAAUGUUGUCUCUCUUGAGUGGAUCCUGAGUACGACGGAGCACGUGAAAUUCCGUCGGAAUCUGGGAGGACCAUCUCCUAAGGCUAAAUACUC